ACCUGGGUGGCUCAGUCAGUUAAGCGUCUGACUUUAGCUCAGGUCAUGAUUUCAAGGUCUGUGGGUUCAAGCCCCACAUCGGGUU
RNAcentral lists this transfer RNA (85 nucleotides) under Felis catus (domestic cat). It matches the Rfam family "tRNA". Rfam says of the family: Transfer RNA (tRNA) molecules are approximately 80 nucleotides in length. Their secondary structure includes four short double-helical elements and three loops (D, anti-codon, and T loops). Further hydrogen bonds mediate the characteristic L-shaped molecular structure. tRNAs have two regions of fundamental functional importance: the anti-codon, which is responsible for specific mRNA codon recognition, and the 3' end, to which the tRNAs corresponding amino acid is attached (by aminoacyl-tRNA synthetases). tRNAs cope with the degeneracy of the genetic code in two manners: having more than one tRNA (with a specific anti-codon) for a particular amino acid; and 'wobble' base-pairing, i.e. permitting non-standard base-pairing at the 3rd anti-codon position. Lineage: Eukaryota; Metazoa; Chordata; Mammalia; Carnivora; Felidae. The record is from Rfam by way of RNAcentral.